UACAGAGGUGGCAAGCGUUGUUCGGAAUUACUGGGCGUAAAGGGCUCGUAGGCGGCCAACUAAGUCGGAUGUGAAAUCCCCAGGCUCAACCUGGGAACUGCAUCCGAUACUGGAUGGCUUGAAUCCGGGAGAGGGAUGUGGAAUUCCAGGUGUAGCGGUGAAAUGCGUAGAUAUCUGGAGGAACACCGGUGGCGAAGGCGGCAUCCUGGACCGGUAUUGACGCUGAGGCGCGAAAGCCAGGGUAGCAAACGGG
This 253-nucleotide ribosomal RNA is filed under the name uncultured bacterium. RNAcentral describes it as "partial 16S ribosomal RNA". It matches the Rfam family "Bacterial small subunit ribosomal RNA", at positions 524 to 776 of the family's 1533-position model. The record is from RNAcentral.